CGAUCCUUCGGGAUCAAUUAGCGGCGGACGGGUGAGUAACACGUGGGUAACCUGCCUCAAAGAGGGGAAUAGCCUCCCGAAAGGGAGAUUAAUACCGCAUAAUAUGUUUUGAUCGCAUGAUCUUAACAUCAAAGGAAUAGUCUUCGGAUUAUUUCGCUUUGAGAUGGACCCGCGGCGCAUUAGCUAGUUGGUGAGGUAAAGGCCCACCAAGGCAACGAUGCGUAGCCGACCUGAGAGGGUGAUCGGCCACAUUGGAACUGAGACACGGUCCAGACUCCUACGGGAGGCAGCAGUGGGGAAUAUUGCGCAAUGGGGGAAACCCUGACGCAGCAACGCCGCGUGAAUGAUGAAGGCCUUCGGG
RNAcentral lists this ribosomal RNA (361 nucleotides) under uncultured bacterium. Its description in RNAcentral is "bacterial SSU rRNA". It matches the Rfam family "Bacterial small subunit ribosomal RNA", at positions 73 to 422 of the family's 1533-position model. The record is from RNAcentral.